RNAcentral lists this long non-coding RNA (252 nucleotides) under Rhinopithecus bieti (black snub-nosed monkey). RNAcentral's name for it is "lncRNA (ENSRBIG00000045991.1)". The record is from RNAcentral. Lineage: Eukaryota; Metazoa; Chordata; Mammalia; Primates; Cercopithecidae.
CCUGGAGUGGCAUCCCACCUCGCACUUCUGUGGGACCCUCAGACACAGCUGUCACCGUUGCUGAAUGAAUGUCCCUGGCCACACCGGCAGCUGGAUCAUGGCCACACCUCACCGAAGGCCAGAGACCAGGUCACCACAGGAAGUCAACCAACCUGCUUCAUUCCCCCUGAGACAUUUCAUCUUCAUCUUAAGGGAUUUUGGGCAAACGUCUCUUCUUCUGGAGCUACUUCCUGCUGAAGGCAAGUGUCAUUC